CAGGCUAGGAGUUCCUUCCUACGUUUUUGUGUCUGCCAUAUGUGGUUUGCCUUGUACUGUUUACCUAACAGUGUCAACAGUAGAACAUAUAUUUUACUAUGUUUGAGAAACAUAUCCUUAGAUCGUGGGUCCAUGUUCAUACGUUUAUAGAGGGAGGAUCCAGGGAUUUUUCUAAAAGGGGUUGGUCUAAAUACGGGAAGGCGCCUUUUUACAGUAUGUUUCUUUUGUCUCAGAAGAGGGAUUGCAGCCCUCCGCCAAGACCCGCUGCUGAUAUAACAUUAUUCCCUGGCCAAAGAACACAAAAGAAACAUAAGAAAACCAACAUAAACGCUUGCUACGCAGGCUACUUGCAAGAGAUUUCAUCAGUACUUACUUGAGACAAGUGACGCGUUUGUGGCCACAAGCAGAGACGAUUUUAAAAAGAACACCGACAGCUCCUGCUUUGCCGAGAAUAGUGCAGUUCACGGCUGAAAAGAGUUAUGAUUAAGGAUGAGAUACGCCUCGCAAUCGGCCGCGACUAUCACUCGAUCAAAAUAUACCGUAAUGUACCAUAAUGAGAGAUCGCGCGAAUGCGUCGGCGCUGAAAUGACCAUGUUGAUUACAACCAGGCCAAACUGAUGUGCACGGGAUACGACUAGAAAGAGAGAGGCUUCUGCGGGAUUCAUGGCGUGGGUUUAGUUUAUAGGGAGCUGUGGGGCAGAGGGUAUUGCCCGGAUUUUUUUGAUCGGAUCACAGUUGGCAGGACGCGUCUAGUAUCUUGCGCUGAUUGUCUGGAGUGCCAGUUUUUCUAGGGAUCGGAUAAGCCCGAUCGCAAAUCUGUAGGAGAUCUUUACGAUGUUUGCGUUUGACGAAGAGAGUAAUUAAGCACAAACACAUGGUCUUUAGGAGUGUGAGUUUGUAGGGGCACUUUCAAGGAGCAGUAAAAGUGAAUUAACACACUUCAUGACGACAAACACGAAGAGUAUUUAUGACUGUUGUUGACCUGAAGGUCAGUUCACAAUGAAAUCUAAAGAAAUUAUAUAAUUUAACAAACGGGUUAUCAGCGACAUCUUCGUAAUUCCAUAGAAUUACAGAGUGUAAUAAUUAUUUUUCAUAACUUUUUCCAGGGAGAUGACAAUCAGCCCUUACUUUGAUAAAUCAAUACUUGUAAAUUGUAAACACGGAAAACGUUUGUUCGUCGUUCAAUUCCACUCAGAGCUAAUCCUCGAAAAAAAGAUUGAGUAAGCAAAGAUCUUUAGAAAAAAAAAAUCUCAAACAAGCUAUACUUGGGUAAAAUGCCCAGGGGAAAUCUAGAGAAAAAAAUCUUGAACAAGCUUUACUUAGGUAAAAUGUACAGGGGAGAUCUAGAGAAAAAUAUCUCGAACAAGCUAUACUUGGGUAAAGGCACAUAUAUCCAGCAUAAAAAAAAUCGUUACCUCCCCGUAAUAAAUCAAAUGGUCCGUCCUUUAUUGAGGGGGUGUUACAUGGUGUCAUCUAUGGGUGUUGUCUGUGGGUGUACUUCACGGGUGUCAUUAGGGGGUGUUGUGUGGUGUCGUAUGUGGGUGUCAUCUAUGGGUGUUGUCUGUGGGUGUACUUCACGGGUGUCAUUAGGAGGUGUUGUGUGGUGUCAUUAAUGGGUGUCAUCUAUGGGUGUUGUCUGUGGGUGUACUUCGCGGGUGUCAUUAGUGGGUGUUGUGUGGUGUCAUCAGUGGGUGUCAUCUAUGGGUGUUGUCUGUGGGUGUACUUCGCGGGUGUCAUUAUUGGGUGUUGUGUGGUGUCAUUAAUGGGUGUCAUCUAUGGGUGUUGUCUGUGGGUGUACUUCACGGGUGUCAUUAGGGGGUGUUGUGUGGUGUCAUCAGUGGGUGUCAUCUAUAGGUGUGGUCUGUGGGUGUACUUCACGGGUGUCAUUAGGGGAUGUUGUGUGGUGUCAUUAAUGGGUGUCAUCUAUGGGUGUUGUCUGUGGGUGUACUUCGCGGGUGUCAUUAGGAGGUGUUGUGUGGUGUCGUUAAUGGGUGUCAUCUAUGGGUGUGGUCUGUAGGUGUACUUCGCGGGUGUCAUUAGUGGGUGUUGUGUGGUGUCGUUAGUGGGUGUCAUCUAUGGGUGUGGUCUGUGGGUGUACUUCACAGGUGUCAUUAGUGGGUGUUGUGUGGUGUCAUCAGUGGGUGUCAUCUAUGGGUGUGGUCUGUGGGUGUACUUCACGGGUGUCAUUAGUGGGUGUUGUGUGGUGUCAUCAGUGGGUGUCAUCUAUUGGUGUGGUCUGUAGGUGUACUUUACAGGCGUCAUUAGGAGGUGUUGUGUGGUGUUAUCAGUGGGUGUUAUCUAUGGGUGUGGUCUGUAGGUGUACUUCACGGGUGUCAUUAGGGGGUGUUGUGUGGUGUCAUCAGUGGGUGUCAUCUAUGGGUGUGGUCUGUACGUGUACUUUACGGGUGUCAUUAGGGGGUGUUGUGUGGUGUCGUUAGUGGGUGUCAUCUAUGGGUGUGGUCUGUACGUGUACUUUACGGGUGUCAUUAGGGGGUGUUGUGUGGUGUCGUUAGUGGGUGUCAUUUAUGGGUGUGGUCUGUACAUGUACUUUACGGGUGUCAUUAGUGGGUGUUGUGUGGUGUCGUUAGUGGGUGUCAUCUAUGGGUGUGGUCUGUAGGUGUACUUCGCGGAUGUCAUUAGGGGGUGUUGUGUGGUGUCGUUAGUGGGUGUCAUCUAUGGGUGUGGUCUGUGGGUGUACUUCACAGGUGUCAUUAGUGGGUGUUGUGUGGUGUCGUAUGUGGGUGUCAUCUAUGGGUGUGGUCUGUGGGUGUACUUCACGGGUGUCAUUAGUGGGUGUUGUGUGGUGUCAUCAGUGGGUGUCAUCUAUGGGUGUUGUCUGUGGGUGUACUUCGCGGGUGUCAUUGGGUGUUGUGUGGUGUCGUUAGUGGGUGUCAUCUAUGGGUGUGGUCUGUAGGUGUACUUCGCGGAUGUCAUUAGUGGGUGUUGUGUGGUGUCAUCAGUGGGUGUCAUCUAUGGGUGUGGUCUGUGGGUGUACUUCACAGGUGUCAUUAGGAGGUGUUGUGUGGUGUCGUUAGUGGGUGUCAUCUAUGGGUGUGGUCUGUAGGUGUCAUCUAUGGGUGUGGUCUGUGGGUGUACUUCGCGGGUGUCCAUAGGAGGUGUUGUGUGGUGUCAUCAGUAGGUGUCAUCUAUGGGUGUGGUCUGUAGGUGUCAACUAUGGGUGCAUGUGUGCGUGGGUUAGAGUGUGUUAACUGUGUGGGAGCAAAACUGAUGUAGCAAGUUGCUGAAUCGCACAAGUUCUAUGGUAUGAAUGGUCUCAAUGGGUUACCGUUUACCAAUUACUGUUCUAUGGUAUGAAUGAUCUCAAUGGGUUACCGUUGGGAGAGUACUGUUCUAUGGUAUGAAUGAUCUCAAUGGGUUACUGUUUGCCAAGUACUUUUCUAUGUAAUAAAUGAUCUCAAUGGGUUACCAUU
Molecule: long non-coding RNA, 3431 nt
Organism: Nematostella vectensis (starlet sea anemone)
Lineage: Eukaryota; Metazoa; Cnidaria; Anthozoa; Actiniaria; Edwardsiidae
Exons: 2
Source: RefSeq, a predicted model, not a curated record